RNAcentral lists this ribosomal RNA (428 nucleotides) under uncultured bacterium. RNAcentral describes it as "bacterial SSU rRNA". It matches the Rfam family "Bacterial small subunit ribosomal RNA", at positions 355 to 796 of the family's 1533-position model. The record is from RNAcentral.
UCAAGAACCUUCCACAAUGGACGAAAGUCUGAUGGAGCGACGCCGCGUGAUUGAUGAAGUCCUUCGGGACGUAAAGAUCUUUUAUGAGGGAAGAAUUUUAUUGACGGUACCUCAUGAAUAAGGGGUUGCUAAACUCGUGCCAGCAGCAGCGGUAAUACGAGUACCCCGAGUGUUAUCCGGAAUUAUUGGGCGUAAAGGGUGCGAAGGUGGUUGUGUUAGUCGUAUGUUAAAACUCCGAGCUCAACUUGGAAUCGGCGUACGAAACGGCACGACUAGAGGAUGUGAGAGGUGUACAGAACUCAUGGUGUAGGGGUGAAAUCCGUUGAUAUCAUGGGGAAUACCAAAAGCGAAGGCAGUACACUGGCGCAUACCUGACACUCCAGCACGAAAGCGUGGGUAGCGAAUGGGAUUAGAUACCCCUGUAGUCC